Molecule: long non-coding RNA, 668 nt
Organism: Asparagus officinalis (garden asparagus)
Lineage: Eukaryota; Viridiplantae; Streptophyta; Magnoliopsida; Asparagales; Asparagaceae
Exons: 3
Source: RefSeq, a predicted model, not a curated record
GAUUUGAGGCUGCAUCCAAGGAGACAACAUCUGUGUACAUUUCCCAGGAGGAGGAACAAACCGAGUCGGACCCUCAUAUGCUUUCUGUAGAGGAGAACAUCACUCUCACACACAGAACCUGAUGAGUUAUAAUAGGAGAGGAAGAUAUCCACUGCAUGGUGUUGGAGAUUCACCGGCAUAAGCAUGAGAUCAUCCACAGCAUCCUUCACGCCAUCUAUAUCAAUGAGAGCAGCCCCAAGCAGUUUCCAGGCUAUGUCAUUUGUCGCACGUAUCUCUGCAUAUUUGAUUGAUAAAAUUAAUCCGGAGCUGCAUAUUCAGGUAACAUAAUGAGAUGACUAGAGUUGCGCUGAUAGCGAACUCGACGGACGAUCUCAUGAGGUAUGAUACAAUAUUUAGGCGAUUAGAUUCCUUAUAGCGUAUAGUGGCAUCAUACGGAUCAUAAGCUCGAUUGGUGAUAAUUCCGGCGCUAGAUAGAGCAGCCCUUAGAGUGGAGAUAUUGGAGGGAGCAACACCCGUUCUCGUAACCGGGAUAGAGAUACUGCCGACGACGAUGAUAGAUGAGGUGUUUUUAUUUUUAAUGCAAUAAAUAGUUUUAUUUGUUAUAACACUACAUUUAUUCAUGUCGUGUAUCCGAUCUUAGUUAUGUACAUUAUUAGUAUAUAUGUUGU